RNAcentral lists this ribosomal RNA (466 nucleotides) under uncultured bacterium. RNAcentral describes it as "partial 16S ribosomal RNA". It matches the Rfam family "Bacterial small subunit ribosomal RNA", at positions 28 to 507 of the family's 1533-position model. The record is from RNAcentral.
GAUGAACGCUGGCGGCGUGCUUAACACAUGCAAGUCGAACGAUGAAGCCCAGCUUGCUGGGUGGAUUAGUGGCGAACGGGUGAGUAACACGUGAGUAACCUGCCCUUAACUCUGGGAUAAGCCUGGGAAACUGGGUCUAAUACCGGAUAGGAGCGUCCACCGCAUGGUGGGUGUUGGAAAGAUUUAUCGGUUUUGGAUGGACUCGCGGCCUAUCAGCUUGUUGGUGAGGUAAUGGCUCACCAAGGCGACGACGGGUAGCCGGCCUGAGAGGGUGACCGGCCACACUGGGACUGAGACACGGCCCAGACUCCUACGGGAGGCAGCAGUGGGGAAUAUUGCACAAUGGGCGCAAGCCUGAUGCAGCGACGCCGCGUGGGGGAUGACGGCCUUCGGGUUGUAAACCUCUUUCAGUAGGGAAGAAGCGAAAGUGACGGUACCUGCAGAAGAAGCACCGGCUAACUACGUG